UGAGUGAUCAUUGAAUUCCAUGUUUUUGGACUAAACUUGGAUAGGGCAGAGUUUAUACAUAAAUUGACGGAAAGGUGGCUCUUCAUUUAAUAAUUGGAUGUAGUUCAGAAACAAUGUUUGUAAUCGAGUAAACAGUAUCAGUAACUACUCUUUCUAUAGUUAGCAUCUAUUAAAUCAUUUUUGAUGUUGGCAGAUUAUUGCCACAAGGGCAAGGCUAACACAGGCUGCUUAGUGUCAGGCCAGUAAGGACUCCACAGCAAGAUCCUCUCAAAAAGAAGAUGACGGUGAUGACAGCGAUGAUUUUUACACUUUCUUCUCUUCCUUACCAUGUUUGUUAACACUAAACAUUUAGAACCUAAAGAAAACCUAGGCCCUAAUUUCUGCCCUCUGUGGUUCUGUGGGGUCUCUAUCUCACAUGGAGAAAAAUAUAUUUCAACCAAGGGCUGUAGUAGAUGAGACAGACCCUGCUCUGUUGUGUUGAGAAGAUUUUAAACAUAAACUUUAUAUAAUUGUAUUAUGUAACCAAACACCACAAAGGUUUCAUUGUUUUAUUACCGAUUUUUAGUGCACUUCAAAAUAAGUCACCCAAUACCUUAUUUAAAUUUUAAAAAUGUAUUUAAUAUUUACAUGUAAUGGAAUUCACAUAUAUUGUAUAAAUUUGCUGAUUUUUUUUUUAAUGAUUGUAUAAUCCACAUCCUUCUCAAAAUUGAAAGCAUUGGAAUCAUCCAUUCCCAGCCCACACAGGCAUCACCUACACCCACUGUCAUUCCACCAUGUUCCAGACCGAACUCCUUAGCACGAUGACGAUGACGACUGUGGAGCACCCACGUUGGAGCAUCACUUGUUCAUUACUUUUUAUUCCUGAACCUUUUAUAUGAAUAUACCAGUUUGUCUUUCCGUCUCCCCAUUGAUGGGCUAUUUCUGCUAUUUUUUUUCUUACUGUUAUGAAUAAAGCUGCUCUGGUCACUU
This 969-nucleotide long non-coding RNA is filed under the name Rattus norvegicus (Norway rat). Its description in RNAcentral is "long non-coding RNA NONRATT018239". The record is from RNAcentral. Lineage: Eukaryota; Metazoa; Chordata; Mammalia; Rodentia; Muridae.